Molecule: ribosomal RNA, 406 nt
Filed under: uncultured bacterium
Lineage: Bacteria
Description: partial 16S ribosomal RNA
Rfam family: Bacterial small subunit ribosomal RNA
Source: RNAcentral
AUUGAACGCUGGCGGCAGGCCUAACACAUGCAAGUCGAACGAGUGGCGGACGGGUGAGUAAUGUCUGGGAAACUGCCCGAUGGAGGGGGAUAACUACUGGAAACGGUAGCUAAUACCGCAUACCAUCGGAUGUGCCCAGAUGGGAUUAGCUAGUAGGUGGGGUAACGGCUCACCUAGGCGACGAUCCCUAGCUUGUGUGAGGUGAUGACGAGCCCUACGGGAACUGGGAAACGGGCCAGACUCAUACGGGAGGCAUCAGUGGGGAAUAUUGCAAAAUGUGCGCAAGCCUGAUGCAGCCAUGCCGCGGGGAUGAAGAAGGCCUUCGGGUUGUAAAGUACUUUCAGCGAGGAGGCGUUACUCGCAGAAGAAGCACCGGCUAACUCCGUGCCAGCAGCCGCGGUAAUAC